Non-coding RNA from Triticum aestivum (bread wheat), 135 nucleotides. The record is from Rfam. NCBI's taxonomy places the organism in Eukaryota, Viridiplantae, Streptophyta, Magnoliopsida, Poales, Poaceae.
AAAGUAGUCCCUCCGUCCCAAAAUUCUUGUCUUGGAUUUGUCUAGAUACGGAUGUAUCAAGUCACAUUUUAGUAUUAGAUACAUCCGUAUCUAGACAAAUCUAAGACAACAAAUAUGGGAUAGAGGGAGUAGUUG